Molecule: long non-coding RNA, 3884 nt
Filed under: Gossypium barbadense (sea-island cotton)
Lineage: Eukaryota; Viridiplantae; Streptophyta; Magnoliopsida; Malvales; Malvaceae
Description: long non-coding RNA (GBAR_LNC008312)
Source: RNAcentral
ACAAAUGGUCAUCUGGUCUUUAAUCCCAGGUUUACAUCAUAGAGUUUCAUGCAUAUUUAUUCACAUGUUACAACAUUCACAUCGACUAUCAUAUUUGUAAUUCAUUUACCUCAUCAAAUAUCUAAUAAAACACACCUUCCGCCGUCUGUCAUUUGGCCACAAUAUAUAUAUACACAUCUCAUACAUAUCUCACAUUAGCCAUUUGGCUUUACCACAUAUCCAUCUCAUACACGUUUCGCAUUAGCCAUUUGGCUUUACCUCAUAUCCGUCUCAUACACAUUUCGCAUUAGCCAUUCGGCUUCGCCACAUAUAUACACUUCUACGUUCAUCACAUUGGCCAUUCUACCUUAUCACAUGUAUGCAUGUUCGUAUUCAUCACAUUGGCCAUUCGGCCUUAUCACAUAUUUGCAUGCUCACGUUCAUCACAUUGGCCAUUCGGCCUUAUCACACAUAUGCAUGUUCACGUUCAUCACAUUGGCCAUUCGACCUUAUCACAUAUGCAUGUUCACGUUCAUCACAUUGGCCAUUCGGCCUUAUCACAUAUGCAUGUUCACAUUCAUCUCAUACAAUCCUAAUCAAAAUAUAAUUUUUCAUGUAUUCACAUCACAAUUAUCCAAAUAUACUUCACAUACCACAUAUACUUUCACGUAUACACUUUGUCUUGGCUGAAUCCACGUCUAUCAUUCUCCAAUGAAUAAUUCAAUUUCAUGCCAUACUAUCAUUUCAUAUUCGAAUACUUAUAAACUUACAAUUUCACAAAUUUUAAUAUCAAAGAUCCAUCUAACACUCAUAUAUCAUUUUACAAUAUCACAAUUUAGAAUUCACGUAUGGGUUUAAUCAAUAGCUUGUGAGCAGCCAAAACAAGUUUCAUCCAUGUUUUCAACAUAACCACAAUUCUCUACAAGCAGUUUUUCCUGAGCAACAGUCGCUAAAUUAUUUGUAACUGGGACUACGAAAUUCCAAAUUAUGUGCCGUUAAUUUUCCAUGAAAAUAGACUCGUAUAUCCUCUAUCCACAAAAUUUUCAAAAUUUUUGGUUUGGCCAAUAAAUACUAGAUUUUUCUUAAAAUUUCCCCUGUUUUACUGUUUGACUAAUCUGACCACUCUUCACUACAAAUCAAAUAUCUCAUUGUACAGAAUUCAAAAUGUGUUCUAUUUGAUUUCAUUUGAAACUAGACUCAUUAAGGAGUCUAAGCAUAUAAAUUUUAUCUUAUAACCAUUUCUGUACAAAUUAUAAUGAUUUUCUAAAAACAGAACAGGGGAUUUCGGAGUCGUUCCGACACUGUCUCACACAACUUUAAAUAUCUCUUUAUAGGAAAUUUCUUUGCUCACACAGUCUCUUUUACAAGAAACUAGACUAAUUAAGAUUUGAUUACAUAUUUUAUUCAGCCUAUAAUUCCACACCAACAAUUUAUGGUGAUUUUCUAAAACCACGUUACUGCUGCUGUCCUAAGCAAAUUAUUACAAUUUGCUCUUAAAUUUCCAAGUCCAAACACUUAUAAACUUACCAUUUGAGUUUAAAACAUAUCAUGACCACAUCAUAUCUUAUUAAAUCGACUCAUUAUGUCCUAUUAUGAUUGAAUUUACUCAACAUUUAAUCACUUAAAACUUACCUCGGAAGUGGUCGACGACUAGAUAUCCACGGCUAUUUGUUUACUUUCUCUUUUCCCCCAUCCGACUUUGAUCCUCUUUGCUCUUAAGCUUAAGUAAAACAAUAGAUUUGCUUAAGUACUUAACCAAUAUUAUUCACUUAACUAUCACAUUGGGCAAUCACAUAUCAUUUAAUCUAUAUCUAAAACAAUAGAUUUCAAUAUGUAUCAUAUUCGAUAAAACAUACCAUGACUCGAUUUCAUGCUUAUUUAAUUUAGCUAAUUUCAUAGCCGAUUAAUCACCUUACCCCAACAUUACUCAAUGCCGAAUAUUAACCCAACAUCACAAGCAUAAUCACCAUGAAACUUACCUUGAUACACAUUUUAUCCCAUUGCCGAAUACAUAUAUAUAUCACCAAACAAAUUUUUAUUCACAUCUCUAUAAUUGAUCAUAAUCGGACAUUAUAAACAAAUCAACUAGUUUAGCAUUCAAAUUCUUCUAAUCAUUCCUCAAUCACUUACUCAAUGAACAAUAAUCCAAGCACAUCAAAGCAUAGUCGAAUGUAUCAUUCUUCUUAAAUUCAUAUUCGAACACUCAAUUAAAUACUUACAAUUUAGCACUAAUUUGGCAUUUCAACAUAGCCAAUUGUCAUUAAGCAAUUAAGCCACAAAUAUUCAAUUUUACCAAGCUCAACUCAUCUAUAAUCAACCCUCAAUACACCUAAGCAUCAAAAACAACAUCAAAGAAAUACAAACAUCCAUGACCGAAUGUCAUCUUCAUAAAUUUACAAAAAUAUUUGCCAUGAGUUAGCUUCUAUACUUGAUGACCACUCCAAAUAUACAAAGACUUUCAAUGAAAGAGCAUUAACAUACCUCUUCCUAAACAUCAACCAACCCAUCAUGAAGCAAGAAAAUCCUCUUCUUCUUCCUUCCUCAAGUCACGGCAAUAGGGGGAGCAAGGAUGAGACAACUUUGUUUUCAUCACCCCUCCCUUUUUAUUACUUUAUUACUAACCUUUUAUUUUAUUAUUUCUAACAUAAAUCACUAACACAAAAAUGUUUAUAAUAGGCUUUAACCCAUAGCAUGGCCGGCCACUACUUGUCAUAGGUGGAAAUUUGACAUGCAAGCCCAUUAUUUUCAUAACAUGCACUAAUAGGUCCUUAUAGAUUAACCUAUCACCUUUUAAAAGUGCCACACAUAAGUCCUAUUAAUUAAAUUCACAUACAAUCGACUAAAUCGAAGCUUAAAACUUUCACACAUUUAUAUUCACAUAUUUUAGACAAUAAAUAUCAUAUUCAAAUACUUCGGUGACUCGGUUUAGCGGUCCCGAAACCACUUUCCGACUAGGGUCAAUUUGGGGCUGUCACAAACCCACUGAAAAAUUAAGGAAGCAGUGGUUUGAAAACUAAAAUAGAGACGAAAAAGGCAAAGACAAACUUGUUCUAAAGCUGAAAACCCUAAAAAAACCCACUGAAAUAGAAGUAGAUAAGAAUAGAUCAGAAAACUAAAAAAAGACAUGAAAAAGAAAAGACAAAGUUGUAGGAGUGACUCUCAGUUGCUCUUACGAAAAUUCUCUUCCUACUGUCCUGCGUGCGUGUUUUUGGCCUAUAGUGAAAAUUUUUGCUUCUAAUUGAUUGAUUCAAAUAUAUAUAUAAAUCAUAAUUAAUAUAAAAAUACAUAUAAAUUGUUAUGUUUAAUAUUUUAAUAUUUUUAUUAAAAAUAACAAUUUAACACUCAAUUUAACACUAAUUUGAAAAAAAUGUAAAUAUUAAAUGUCAAAUUUAUUAUUACCUAUAUAUUUUUAAUGCAAAUUUAUAAAUAAUUUUAUUGUUAGAAAAUUAAUAAAAUUUAUAUCUAAAAAUAUAAAAGAGAAAAUAACCUCAAAUUUUGAAUUUUAAAGAGAAAUGAAUAUUUAAAAUUAUUAUUUUUAAUUUUUAAUUUGAACUGAUAUUAUUUAAUUGAUUAAAUUGCAUCAAGCCUGCUUAUGGUGGAUCUGAUUUUUGAGCUUUGAAAUUAUAUUUAUUAGUUAAAUAAAGUUGAAACUAAUUCAAUAAAUUUUUCCUGCAAAAAGUUAUAACUUCUGUGGUUAAUUCUUUUAAAGUGGAAAUUCAAAGCACAUUAUACACUCUACACGAUUCAUGUUAUUUCCUCGCAUACCAGAUGCAGAAGAUGAAAACCCUGCAACAGGAUGACCUCUAUUUUCUCUCUUUUGUGCAGGUUCAUUAACCGUUAAUAUAUUGAUUCCCAAUGCAUUGAAGGAAAAAUUACUUUAUAUGGUAACCUUAAAGAUUAACUAU